CAGCAGUGGAAAAGAUUUAUUAUUCAAGAUAAAAGGACCAUAUUUUUUUGUUGAGAAAAUUAUUGUAUAGUUUGAAGCAAUCUUUGAGAUAGUAGUAAAGCAGUUUGAUGCAUUUAUGCUUGGGCAUGGUUAUUCUCAAAGUGACUAUAAUAGUUAUGUUUAUCACAGGAGAUUUUCAGAUAGUUCUUCUAUUUAUUUUUUGUUCUAUAUUGAUGAUAAGCU
Molecule: long non-coding RNA, 222 nt
Filed under: Elaeis guineensis (African oil palm)
Lineage: Eukaryota; Viridiplantae; Streptophyta; Magnoliopsida; Arecales; Arecaceae
Description: long non-coding RNA (EGUI_LNC007818)
Source: RNAcentral